GCCGAUGUAGCUCAGUGGUAGAGCACUUCCUUGGUAAGGAAGAGGUCAUGGGUUCAAGUCCCAUCAUUGGCU
RNAcentral lists this transfer RNA (72 nucleotides) under Albibacterium bauzanense. RNAcentral describes it as "Pedobacter sp. BZ42 tRNA". It matches the Rfam family "tRNA". Rfam says of the family: Transfer RNA (tRNA) molecules are approximately 80 nucleotides in length. Their secondary structure includes four short double-helical elements and three loops (D, anti-codon, and T loops). Lineage: Bacteria; Pseudomonadati; Bacteroidota; Sphingobacteriia; Sphingobacteriales; Sphingobacteriaceae. The record is from Rfam by way of RNAcentral. RNAcentral also lists the same sequence under 2 other names.